UACAGAGGUCCCGAGCGUUGUUCGGAUUCACUGGGCGUAAAGGGUGCGUAGGUGGUGAGGUAAGUCGGAUGUGAAAUCUCCAGGCUCAACCCGGAAAUGGCAUUGGAAACUACCUUGCUGGAGGAUUUGAGGGGGGAUUGGAAUACUUGGUGUAGCAGUGAAAUGCGUAGAUAUCAAGUGGAACACCAGUGGCGAAGGCGAAUCCCUGGAAAAUACCUGACACUGAGGCACGAAAGCUAGGGGAGCAAACAGG
This 253-nucleotide ribosomal RNA is filed under the name uncultured bacterium. RNAcentral's name for it is "partial 16S ribosomal RNA". It matches the Rfam family "Bacterial small subunit ribosomal RNA", at positions 524 to 776 of the family's 1533-position model. The record is from RNAcentral.